Long non-coding RNA from Mus pahari (shrew mouse), 401 nucleotides. RefSeq lists it as uncharacterized. The transcript has 3 exons. Lineage: Eukaryota; Metazoa; Chordata; Mammalia; Rodentia; Muridae. The record is from RefSeq and is a predicted model, not a curated record.
GAACCUGUGUUUUCUCUGCAGAGGACUCACUGAGACUCUGUGUCUGGUAGAAGCUUUGCUUCGAGAGGCGCUUACACAUAGAGGAGGACUGGGCAAUCCCUCUGUGAUGAUGUGAAUGGCUUUCCAGGAAACACACCUGAAGAGCCUGCUGGCAGUUGAUACUCAUCAGGGUCAGGGCCCUGAGCUGCCGAGAAUGAAGCUACAGACAUGAGAGCCUGGUUCAGUGCGAAGUCCUGGAGAGUAGAGACGUCGUCUUCACCAACAAGGCUGGGUGGGAUUAUACACUUCCACAGCUGAAUGUCUGCGUGUGACUUGCAUCAAAGGGAAGACAGACAUCAGGAGGCUAUGUCUUCAAUCACUCAAAACGUCUCCAUGAAAUUUCAAGACAUAAUACAGAAGUG